UGCAACACGCUCUUCUCAAGGAUUAAGCCAUGCACGUGCCAAGUUCACACCUUGUUAAAGUGAGACUGCGGACGGCUCAGUAAAUCGGUUAUAAUCUGUUCGAAAGUGUCAACCCAUUGGAUAACCGUGGGAAAUCUAGAGCUAAUACAUGUGACAACACGAUUCACAUCAGUAAUGUUUUGUGGGUCGGUGCAUUUAUUGGACAAAACCAAACGCUGGUGGGUCGUGUUCGGCCUGUCAGUGGGGUGAAUCUAGAUAACUGAGCAGAUUGCCAAGCCUUGUGCCGGCAAUGUUUCGAUUGAAUUUCCGCCCUAUCAACUGUUGAUGGUAAGGUAGAGGCUUACCAUGGUUGCAACGGGUAACGGGGAAUCAGGGUUCGAUUCCGGAGAGGGAGCCUGAGAAACGGCUACCACAUCCAAGGGAGGCAGCAGGCGCGCAAAUUACCCAAUCCAGACGAUGGGAGGUGGCAACGAGAAGUACUGGGUGCUCGGCAAUGCCGUGCGUCCCGGAAUGAGCAUAAAGUAAAAAGUUGGUCGAGUAACUACUGGAGGGCAAGUCUGGUGCCAGCAGCCGCGGUAAUUCCAGCUCCAGUAGCGUGUCGUAAAGUUGUUGCGUUUAAAACGCUCGUAGUCGGAUCAUGACGUGUGUGCCGGUUAACCGGGAGUGUUGGUAAUUCAACAUCGUAGCUUUCGUGUACUUGGGUAACUCCAGUCGCGUUGGUUGCGAUGUGCCUUCACAAACGGCGAUUGCUGGUGCACACUGGUUGCAUGCAAGAAUGGCCAUUGGCCUUGAGUGAGUUGGUGGUCGUGUCUUGCAGAGUGUGCCUUGAAUAAAUCAUAGUGCUUCAAGCAGGCCUUUGCCUGAGUGAUACAGCAUGGAACGAACCAUCGUGUUGUGUGUCUAUCGUUCAACCUUCUGCUCGCUUUCAUCGGUGGAUAGAUUUGGUUUGCGGUAGGCACUUCACCAACCACCACUACGGAUGUUGGUUUCCGUAAUGGGGUGAUGAUAAAAACGAGCGGUUGGGGGCAUUGGUAUU
Molecule: ribosomal RNA, 1036 nt
Filed under: Unicauda sp. n. DM-2018
Lineage: Eukaryota; Metazoa; Cnidaria; Myxozoa; Bivalvulida; Myxobolidae
Description: SSU rRNA
Rfam family: Eukaryotic small subunit ribosomal RNA
Source: RNAcentral